This 435-nucleotide ribosomal RNA is filed under the name uncultured Thiobacillus sp. RNAcentral describes it as "bacterial SSU rRNA". It matches the Rfam family "Bacterial small subunit ribosomal RNA", at positions 942 to 1382 of the family's 1533-position model. Lineage: Bacteria; Pseudomonadati; Pseudomonadota; Betaproteobacteria; Nitrosomonadales; Thiobacillaceae. The record is from RNAcentral.
UGGAUUAAUUCGAUGCAACGCGAAAAACCUUACCUACCUUGACAUGUCCGGAAUCCUGCAGAGAUGCGGGAGUGCCGAAAGGGAAUCGGAACACAGGUGCUGCAUGGCUGUCGUCAGCUCGUGUCGUGAGAUGUUGGGUUAAGUCCCGCAACGAGCGCAACCCUUAUCAUUAGUUGCUACGCAAGGGCACUCUAAGUGAGACUGCCGGUGACAAACCGGAGGAAGGUGGGGAUGACGUCAAGUCCUCAUGGCCCUUAUGGGUAGGGCUUCACACGUCAUACAAUGGUCGGUACAGAGGGUUGCCAAGCCGCGAGGUGGAGCCAAUCCCAGAAAGCCGAUCGUAGUCCGGAUUGUUCUCUGCAACUCGAGAGCAUGAAGUCGGAAUCGCUAGUAAUCGCGGAUCAGCAUGUCGCGGUGAAUACGUUCCCGGGUCUU